This 491-nucleotide ribosomal RNA is filed under the name uncultured bacterium. RNAcentral describes it as "partial 16S ribosomal RNA". It matches the Rfam family "Bacterial small subunit ribosomal RNA", at positions 29 to 506 of the family's 1533-position model. The record is from RNAcentral.
AGUGAACGCUGGCGGUAGGCCUAACACAUGCAAGUCGAACGGCAGCACAGUAAGAGCUUGCUCUUACGGGUGGCGAGUGGCGGACGGGUGAGGAAUACAUCGGAAUCUACUUUUUCGUGGGGGAUAACGUAGGGAAACUUACGCUAAUACCGCAUACGACCUACGGGUGAAAGCAGGGGAUCUUUGGACCUUGCGCGAUUGAAUGGGCCGAUGUCGGAUUAGCUAGUUGGCGGGGUAAAGGCCCACCAAGGCGACGAUCCGUAGCUGGUCUGAGAGGAUGAUCAGCCACACUGGAACUGAGACACGGUCCAGACUCCUACGGGAGGCAGCAGUGGGGAAUAUUGGACAAUGGGCGCAAGCCUGAUCCAGCCAUACCGCGUGGGUGAAGAAGGCCUUCGGGUUGUAAAGCCCUUUUGUUGGGAAAGAAAAGCAGCAGGUUAAUACCCCGCUGUUCUGACGGUACCCAAAGAAUAAGCACCGGCUAACUUCGU